AUGAGGGGCGACAUCCCGCCUCCUCCGGCUCCGGCUCUAGGACCCCCGGCUAACGGUGCGAUGCGCGAUGACGUCUACCCCGACCAGAACGCGACCUACGUCGUCCUCACCAGCCUUGGCGACGACAAACAUAGCGAGCGCCUGCUCCGGCAGGAAGUGAACACCGUCGUCUUGGCCAAGCCAGCGUACAUGCAUUGGUCGGAGCGCCCGGUCACCUGGACCCAGGAAGACCACCCGGCCGUCAUGCCGAACCCGGGUGGCUACGCCCUCGUCCUCGACCCCACCAUCGUCGCAUCCCGGCGCAGAUGCAAGUUCUCCCGAGUCCUCAUCGAUGGUGGCAGUAGCAUCAACAUCCUCUACCGCGACACCAUGACCAAGCUUGGCCUCGAGGCCAAGGAUCUGGAGCCGUCCCGGACAAUCUUCCAUGGCAUCGUGCCUGGCCUCUCCUGCUCCCCCAUCGGCCGGAUCCGGCUCGACGUCCUAUUCGGCACCAGCGACCAUUUCCGACGCGAGUCGCUCUGGUUCGAGGUGGUGGACCUAUCCAGCGCAUAUCACGCGCUGCUGGGCCGGCCGACACUCGCCAAGUUCAUGGCCGUCCCCCACUACGCCUACCUGAAGAUGAAGCUACCGGGUCCAAAGGGCCUCAUCACCAUCACCAGCGAUUAUCGCAAGUCCCUGGAGUGUGCCCAAGCCGGUGCCAAACUAACUGAGUCGCUGGCCAUAGCCGAGGAGCGGCGCCAGCUCGACCGGAUCGUCACGCUGGCCAACGAGACGCCGACCGUGCCGGCUUCGGUUAAGGAGCCGGCUGGAGAGGCCUCGUUCUAG
Molecule: ribosomal RNA, 825 nt
Filed under: Triticum aestivum (bread wheat)
Lineage: Eukaryota; Viridiplantae; Streptophyta; Magnoliopsida; Poales; Poaceae
Description: partial small subunit ribosomal RNA
Source: RNAcentral